This 4313-nucleotide long non-coding RNA is filed under the name Pongo abelii (Sumatran orangutan). RNAcentral's name for it is "lincRNA". The record is from RNAcentral. Lineage: Eukaryota; Metazoa; Chordata; Mammalia; Primates; Hominidae.
ACAGUGCGGUAAAGCCAAGGGAGAUUAUCCAGACCCCCAGGAGCGAACAGCAAGCAGCAACCGAAGGCGCAAAUGCCAGGAUUACAGCCUAGGCUGCUCCAACUAUGAGCCCUUCCUCGGACCCUGGGACUCGGCUACUUGGGGUUUGGGGGUCUUCCACACCACAGAGGCACAAAGCUGACUUUAAUCACUUUUUUUCCUUUAAACUUGAUUCUGCCGCAGUGGAGCCAGCACAGCGGAUGUUUUCACACCCAGCAAGACAAAGGCCGUCGUCUCCGCCAUGACACUGUUCCGUUCCAAGCAGAGGCCGGGAUUCUGGACUCCUCGAAAAAUAAAAAAGAAACAAGGAAAACAAACAACAAAUACAGCAACAAACAGAAAAAACUGAAAACCACCAAAAUCGUUUGCCCGUUUGCCCGUGCCAGGGGUGAUCUGGGCAUCUGUUGCAGCAGAAGGCGCUUGUGUGGGGCUAAUUUUUCUUUUGGUGGGGGGGCAAGCUGUUGGCUUGUUUGCUACUUCAACUUGGUUUAUAAUUAACUUAAAAAAAAAAACCCACUAUUCAGCCUAGUCAACAACAAACAAAGAAAAAGCAGACAUCGGAAGAGAAAUACCAUAGGAAGCGGCAUGAAUACAUGCCACAGCCGGUGCCACUUGCCACUCGGAAAACCUCAGGGAAAGAUGCCAAUUCUACAGCUGCGAAGAAGGCAGAGAAGGGAGCAUAAAGGUCUACAACUAGAAAUCAUAAGUAAAGAAUACUGCUUGUAUAAUCCUGGAUUGCAAUUGCACACAGCCUCUGCUGGGAGAAGAGAGGGAAUAUUUAAAUGGAGAUAUAGAUGGGUAUAAAUUAAAAGAUAGGCACCUAUCGAUUGCGUAUAAACACAUGUGUAAGGUUGUAUGUGUAUAAAAUAUGCAUAUUUUCAGACAAACGUUUAGAUAUGUAUAUAUUUUGUGCUACAGGUAUGGGUAUGUAUAUAGGUGUAUAUGUUUAUGCAUAUACACACAUAUGUAGGAUGUAUGCAUGUGUGAGAAAAAGGAGGGAGAGAGAGGAGAGAGAAGGAAAUAUGUGUAUGUGCAUGUAUGUAUAUGCAUACAUCCCACUUUUUGACCCAGGUAUACACAGAAGACAAAAUAAAAAUCAUACUCCAGCAGCAAGCAGGCAGCCAGAGAUUUAUCUACAUUCACUGCUAUCACCAGGGAGAUGAAUGGGGCCGAUCUGAAGCCCUUUUACAAGAUCCACUAUGGGAGUGAAGGAGGAGGAGGGAUGCCACACAGACAUGCACAAACUUGAAGGCAGAGGGAUUUGGAAGGGGCUACUGAGGAAACACUGGUGGCAUAACGCAGGGGAGAAGAAGGGGAAAGAGGCUUGUCUCUCUCUCUCUCUAUGUUUUAGGUGGUUGUUUUUAAAAAAUCUGCAAAAGGGUUUCAGGGAACGGCUGGUACUUACGUUGUCUGCGUUGCUGUGGAUCCUGAAAGGUGUUCUGUUGGCACCGGGCGCUGAGCCAGGGGCAGGCGCUGGAAACAAAAGGGAGAGACAAAAAAAUAAAGUCAUUCAAUGGGAAUAUUAAUUGCUGCUCUUGUGGAUUUUACAAAACACAUAAACUGUUUUCUUUUUCUUUCUUAAAAAAAAAUGUGGAUUGGCGCGUGUCCCUUUUGCAUGGAAUAUACAAGUAGUAUGGGAUUUACAGCCCAGUUGCGGGACUCAGGAUUAGCUGCGCUGGCAUCUUUUGGGCAUAUUCUUCCUUUUAAUGAAUGAGCUUUCGCUGUUAAUGAGGAAUAAUCGUUUGGCUAAUGAGCUUUGAAACAUUAAGAGAAAAGAGGUUUUUUCCGUUAAUCGCUCUGGUGCGACUGCAUGGAUGGAUUACAAAAGACAGCAAUAGGAACGCAGUACAAAGGGGGGGACCUCUCCUGGAGUGGGAGAAACACCGAGAUGGGUGAUGUGUCCCUGCGUCUUUCCUUCCUUCUCUCUUUCGCUCUCUCUGCCAACUGCUAUGGGUUUCCAUAACUUCGCAAUCAAAGUGGAUGGUCGGGAAGGAUUAUUACAAAGAGUGAAGCCUCCGCUGUUAAUGUCUCCAGUGUUUAAUCAUCAUACAGUAGAAUGGUUUUAUGCAUAUUUCAUUUGCAUAUCAUUAAACUGUGUUAGCGAGGGGCAUUCAGAACCAGGAGAAGUACAAAGUUGGGGAGAGAGGGAAGAAAAAAGGUCCCUAUGAUGCUUAUCUUCAAACAGGGACUUGUUCCAUGAUCUGUCUUCUACUUUUGCUAAAAUCAUUAUAACUUGGAAACCUUUGAAGUUGGAUACAACCUUGGAUUCUUCUAAUUCCUGCAGAGCAGUGUAUUUUAAAAAACAGCAGAAAUGUUCCUGCACUAGACAAUUAAAGGAAUAUAAACUCCAGUGGGCUGAAACUAGUAGCUCUUUGGGGAACGCAGUAGCAGAGGCUUCUACAAAUACCAACACUUAAAAAUAUAUAAUAAACAGCAUCAUAUUAGAAACAAAGAAAACGAAGACAAGAAAUAUUAACACGUGGAUUAUAUUUGUUUCCUUUGGGGGGUAAUGAACUAAAGAGAAUGAAGAAGCCAUCGGUAAUUUAUCCCUUCAUUAAUGAACAGUCACCUUUUUGUAUGUGUUUGUUUUUGUCCUUUCUUUUUGAAGAGGGAUGUUGUUACUUUUGAAGCAAUUAGUCAAUUAUUUUGUAGCUAUGAUCUUUUUCCCCUGCACCCGACAGGAAAGAAAGGUGGUGGUUAGGGAAUAUGUGAGUACUGGGGGGGACUUGGUGGGGAGAGAAAGAAUACAGUGAGUUCUUUGUAGAUCUUAUACAUGCACAACAUAUUAAUUGGGGGCUUUUAAAGCUCCCUCAAUGGGCUAUUUCAUUCCUGGUAAAACAGCAGCUGGUUAGCCACUAUUGGUGACUCUUCAAAUAUUACUUUAUUUUUAUUCUUUCGCUGUUGUUGUUGUCUUGUUUUUCCUCAGUUAAGAAUGAAAAUGUAGUAUCACCCCUUCUUUACUGAGUCUCUUCUCCAUCUUCUUCUUCACUCCAAUUUCCAAACUGUAAAACAAUGUUGGCUUAAUACUGAAUCCUAGUGCACAGUCUAACCGGCACAACUUGAUUUGGAAAUGAGAUGCUGUUUUAUAUUUAAAUUACCCCUGCUUCCCCCUUAUCCUCCAAAGCUUUGUCUCUGUUAUGAAUAUGCAGAUGAGGCAUGAUGUGAUUACACUGUACAAUUACUCCUAUCCAUGGUGGUGUCAGGGGCUGCUAGGGAGACAGAGAGUCAGACAGCCUCCAAGCCAAUACAGAGUUUUGUUUUCGGUAUUUUUCCUAUCUCCUUGGCACUGCGGCACAUGCAGAUGUCGCUGUUGUUCUUUAUAAAGCCCUAAUGAUAUGCAAAAGCAUAACGAUUUGGUUUGGAUGCAAAGCAUCAACGAAAUAUUACGGAUGUCUUCAAGAAAGGGGGAGAGAAAAUCCUGACUGAAGGAAUGUCCACAUAAAUUAUUUUUAUUUAAAUGAAUUCAAAGGAUGGGGUGAGGGCAAGUCAGAUGGAGUCGCAUGGAAAACAUGAAUAAUAUUAAUAUGCAUAAAGAAUUCUCACCGAGGAGGAGAAGCUCCUCACUACAGCUCUUGGGACAAACAGGUUCAUUAGGAAACAGCUCAGAGCGACUACAGCAUUUUGCUAUUUCAAUUUUUUCCCUUAUUUUAAAUGAAGAGUCAGACAGAUGUGUUUUCUUUGCAUGGCAGCAUUGAGAUGGAUCCAAUCUGUGAAAUUUGCUGCCCAAAUAGCAUUUCUAAUGGAAACUGGAACUAAACAAGGGCACGGAUAUGGAAGGGAGGGGAGAAGAGAGAAUACACGAAGAGGAGUAUAUUCAGAGCCACUGCAUGGCAUUUUUAGUACAGGAUGUUUUCAGAAACCAUCUUUGCUUCGUUAGUCUCCCCUGUGGGCUCCUGAUGUAGGGAGCUAUCAGGGUAUACCAAGAUGAGCACUGAGACAGGCCUUUCUAGGUCUGAGGCUGAGGAAAGCAGCGGCAACUUGGUGCCUGUGCCCCAGAGCUGUCUACAGUUCAGAAGCCAAAAGCACAGCUACUUCUAAUUUGGGGAUGCAGUAGAGUGCCUACUGAUCCAGGUAUUUGUGAAAGAUGGAAUUCUUGGUGCUAUCAUAGUAUACAUUGCUAAAGAGCAGAUGAAAUCGGCUGCUUAAGGAGGCCUGAUAAUAUUUAUGUUGGUUAAUUCUCAUGAUAAUGAUAACUGCACUUGUCUAGUAUUUUCAGAAUGUUAAAAUUACCAGUGUGGCUUAAUGCAUGUUAACAAUGAAUAGAGAGGGACAAA